RNAcentral lists this ribosomal RNA (465 nucleotides) under uncultured bacterium. RNAcentral describes it as "partial 16S ribosomal RNA". It matches the Rfam family "Bacterial small subunit ribosomal RNA", at positions 339 to 795 of the family's 1533-position model. The record is from RNAcentral.
CUACGGGCGGCUCCAGUGAGGAAUUUUGCGCAAUGGGGGGAACCCUGACGCAGCAACGCCGCGUGAGUGAUGAAGGCUUUCGGGUCGUAAAGCUCUGUCAAGUGGGAAGAACCUAUGCAGUGUUAAUAUCACUGUAUACUGACGGUACCACUGAAGGAAGCACCGGCUAACUCCGUGCCAGCAGCCGCGGUAAUACGGGGGGUGCAAGCGUUAUUCGGAAUCAUUGGGCGUAAAGGGCACGUAGGCGGCUUGGUAAGUCAGAUGUGAAAGCCCGGGGCUUAACCCCGGAAGUGCAUUUGAUACUGUCAGGCUUGAGUAUGGGAGAGGGAAGUGGAAUUCCUGGUGUAGAGGUGAAAUUCGUAGAUAUCAGGAGGAACACCAGUGGCGAAGGCGACUUCCUGGACCAAUACUGACGCUGAGGUGCGAAGGCGUGGGUAGCAAACAGGAUUAGAUACCCCGGUAGUC